Long non-coding RNA from Corticium candelabrum, 272 nucleotides. RefSeq lists it as uncharacterized. The transcript is spliced from 3 exons. Lineage: Eukaryota; Metazoa; Porifera; Homoscleromorpha; Homosclerophorida; Plakinidae. The record is from RefSeq and is a predicted model, not a curated record.
AGACUAAUGAGAAUCGCUCAAGUAACACGUCGUUCGCAUCCAACGUAACCGAAAACAGGUUAGUGGUUGAAAGAACAUUGGGCGAUCAAACUUUCAGCGAACACCAUAUAAGCGACACGAGAAGAAAAGGAGAAGAUGCGUUAUUGAAAGACAAUGGUUCUAGUACCGAGGAAAUUGAACGAAACUCAAGAUCAAAUUUUACGUCGCCAGUGGUCAGUUCUAACACUAAAGCAACGAUGCAUUGCCACAGUACCGACGUCAAGGUACUUUUA